AUACGUAGGUGACAAGCGUUAUCCGGAUUUACUGGGCGUAAAGGGCGUGUAGGCGGUCUUGCAAGUCAGAAGUGAAAUUCCUGAGCUCAACUCGGGCGCUGCUUCUGAAACUGCAGGUCUUGAGUGCUGGAGGGGAUAGCGGAAUUCCCAGUGGAGCGGUAAAAUGCGCAGAUAUUAGGAAGAACACCGGUGGCGAAGGCGGCUAUCUGGACAGUAACUGACGCUGAGGCGCGAAAGCGUGGGGAGCAAGCAGGAUUAGAUACCCUGGGAGUCCACGCCGUAAACGAUGAAUACUAGGUGUAGGGGGUAUCGACUCCCUCUGUGCCGCAGUUAACACAAUAAGUAUUCCGCCUGGGGAGUACGGCCGCAAGGUUGAAACUCAAAUGAAUUGACGGGG
Molecule: ribosomal RNA, 397 nt
Filed under: uncultured bacterium
Lineage: Bacteria
Description: partial 16S ribosomal RNA
Rfam family: Bacterial small subunit ribosomal RNA
Source: RNAcentral